Molecule: ribosomal RNA, 253 nt
Filed under: uncultured bacterium
Lineage: Bacteria
Description: partial 16S ribosomal RNA
Rfam family: Bacterial small subunit ribosomal RNA
Source: RNAcentral
UACGGGGGGGGCAAGCGUUGUUCGGAAUUACUGGGCGUAAAGGGCGCGUAGGCGGCCUGCUAAGUCGGAUGUGAAAACUCUGGGCUCAACCCAGAGCCUGCAUUCGAUACUGACGGGCUAGAGUACUGGAGGGGAAAGCGGAAUUCCUGGUGUAGCGGUGAAAUGCGUAGAUAUCAGGAGGAACACCGAUGGCGAAGGCAGGUCUCUGGGCCACUACUGACGCUGAGAAGCGAAAGCAUGGGGAGCGAACAGG